Molecule: ribosomal RNA, 512 nt
Filed under: uncultured bacterium
Lineage: Bacteria
Description: partial 16S ribosomal RNA
Rfam family: Bacterial small subunit ribosomal RNA
Source: RNAcentral
GAUGAACGCUGGCGGCGUGCCUAAUACAUGCAAGUCGAACGAAACUUCUUUAUCACCGAGUGCUUGCACUCACCGAUAAAGAGUUGAGUGGCGAACGGGUGAGUAACACGUGGGCAACCUGCCCAAAAGAGGGGGAUAACACUUGGAAACAGGUGCUAAUACCGCAUAACCAUAGUUACCGCAUGGUAACUAUGUAAAAGGUGGCUAUACUACCGCUUUUGGAUGGGCCCGCGGCGCAUUAGCUAGUUGGUAGGGUAACGGCUUACCAAGGCAAUGAUGCGUAGCCGAAUUGAGAGGUUGAUCGGCCACAUUGGGACUGAGACACGGCCCAAACUCCUACGGGAGGCAGCAGUAGGGAAUCUUCCACAAUGGGCGAAAGCCUGAUGGAGCAACGCCGCGUGGGUGAAGAAGGUCUUCGGAUCGUAAAACCCUGUUGUUAGAGAAGAAAGUGCGUGAGAGUAACUGUUCACGUUUCGACGGUAUCUAACCAGAAAGCCACUGCUAACUACGUG